GCGUGGGCACUCUAAGGAGACUGCCGGUGACAAACCGGAGGAAGGUGGGGAUGACGUCAAGUCAUCAUGGCCCUUACGGCCUGGGCUACACACGUGCUACAAUGGUCGGUACAAAGGGUUGCCAAGCCGCGAGGUGGAGCUAAUCCCAUAAAACCGAUCGUAGUCCGGAUCGCAGUCUGCAACUCGACUGCGUGAAGUCGGAAUCGCUAGUAAUCGUGAAUCAGAAUGUCACGGUGAAUACGUUCCCGGGCCUU
This 254-nucleotide ribosomal RNA is filed under the name uncultured Pseudomonas sp. RNAcentral describes it as "partial 16S ribosomal RNA". It matches the Rfam family "Bacterial small subunit ribosomal RNA", at positions 1129 to 1382 of the family's 1533-position model. The record is from RNAcentral. Lineage: Bacteria; Pseudomonadati; Pseudomonadota; Gammaproteobacteria; Pseudomonadales; Pseudomonadaceae.